This 253-nucleotide ribosomal RNA is filed under the name uncultured bacterium. RNAcentral describes it as "partial 16S ribosomal RNA". It matches the Rfam family "Bacterial small subunit ribosomal RNA", at positions 524 to 776 of the family's 1533-position model. The record is from RNAcentral.
UACGUAGGGUGCAAGCGUUGUCCGGAAUUAUUGGGCGUAAAGAGCUCGUAGGCGGUUUGUCGCGUCUGCUGUGAAAACCCGAGGCUCAACCUCGGGCCUGCAGUGGGUACGGGCAGACUAGAGUGCGGUAGGGGAGAUUGGAAUUCCUGGUGUAGCGGUGGAAUGCGCAGAUAUCAGGAGGAACACCGGUGGCGAAGGCGGUUCUCUGGGCCUUACCUGACGCUGAGGAGCGAAAGCGUGGGGAGCAAACAGG